Molecule: ribosomal RNA, 349 nt
Filed under: uncultured Pseudomonas sp.
Lineage: Bacteria; Pseudomonadati; Pseudomonadota; Gammaproteobacteria; Pseudomonadales; Pseudomonadaceae
Description: bacterial SSU rRNA
Rfam family: Bacterial small subunit ribosomal RNA
Source: RNAcentral
ACACAGGUGCUGCAUGGCUGUCGUCAGCUCGUGCGUGAGGAUGUGGGUUAAGUCCGUAACGAGCGCAACCCUUGUCCUUAGUUACCAGCACGGUUAUGGUGGGCACUCUAAGGAGACUGCCGGUGACAACCGGAGGAAGGUGGGGAUGACGUCAAGUCAUCAUGGCCCUUACGGCCUGGGCUACACACGUGCUACAAUGGUCGGUACAAAGGGUUGCCAAGCCGCGAGGUGGAGCUAAUCCCAUAAAACCGAUCGUAGUCCGGAUCGCAGUCUGCAACUCGACUGCGUGAAGUCGGAAUCGCUAGUAAUCGUGAAUCAGAAUGUCACGGUGAAUACGUUCCCGGGCCUU